RNAcentral lists this ribosomal RNA (278 nucleotides) under uncultured bacterium. RNAcentral's name for it is "partial 16S ribosomal RNA". It matches the Rfam family "Bacterial small subunit ribosomal RNA", at positions 506 to 784 of the family's 1533-position model. The record is from RNAcentral.
UGCCAGCCGCCGCGGUAAUACGGAGGGUGCAAGCGUUAAUCGGAAUUACUGGGCGUAAAGCGCGCGUAGGCGGCUUUGUAAGUCGGAUGUGAAAGCCCUGGCUUAACCUGGGAAUGGCAUUCGAAACUGCAGAGCUAGAGUAUGGUAGAGGGAAGUGGAAUUUCCGGUGUAGCGGUGAAAUGCGUAGAUAUCGGAAGGAACACCAGUGGCGAAGGCAUCUCUCUGGACAGAUAUUGACGCUGAGGUGCGAAAGCGUGGGGAGCAAACAGGAUUAGAUA